Molecule: ribosomal RNA, 425 nt
Filed under: uncultured bacterium
Lineage: Bacteria
Description: partial 16S ribosomal RNA
Rfam family: Bacterial small subunit ribosomal RNA
Source: RNAcentral
GUGGGGAAUCUUAGACAAUGGGGGAAACCCUGAUCUAGCCAUGCCGCGUGAGCGAUGAAGGCCUUAGGGUUGUAAAGCUCUUUCAGCUGGGAAGAUAAUGACGGUACCAGCAGAAGAAGCCCCGGCUAACUCCGUGCCAGCAGCCGCGGUAAUACGGAGGGGGCUAGCGUUGUUCGGAAUUACUGGGCGUAAAGCGCACGUAGGCGGACUGGAAAGUCAGGGGUGAAAUCCCGGGGCUCAACCCCGGAACUGCCUUUGAAACUCCCAGUCUUGAGUUCGAGAGAGGUGAGUGGAAUUCCGAGUGUAGAGGUGAAAUUCGUAGAUAUUCGGAGGAACACCAGUGGCGAAGGCGGCUCACUGGCUCGAUACUGACGCUGAGGUGCGAAAGCGUGGGGAGCAAACAGGAUUAGAUACCCGUGUAGUCC